This 733-nucleotide ribosomal RNA is filed under the name uncultured bacterium. Its description in RNAcentral is "bacterial SSU rRNA". It matches the Rfam family "Bacterial small subunit ribosomal RNA", at positions 28 to 761 of the family's 1533-position model. The record is from RNAcentral.
GAUGAACGCUGGCGGUCCUGUAUAAGAGAUGCAAGUCGAACGAGGUAAAUGAGAUGAAGCCCUCGGAUGGAUUCUUAUUUACCGAGUGGCGGACGGGUGAGUAACGCGUGGGUAACCGGCCUCAUACAGGGGGAUAACGAUUGGAAACGAUUGCUUAUACCGCAUAAGCGCACAGUACCACAUGGUACGGUGUGAAAAACUCCGGUGGUAUGAGAUGGACCCGCGUCUGAUUAGCUAGUUGGUGAGGUAACGGCCCACCAAGGCGACGAUCAGUAGCCGACCUGAGAGGGUGACCGGCCACAUUGGGACUGAGACACGGCCCAGACUCCUACGGGAGGCAGCAGUGGGGGAUAUUGCACAAUGGAGGAAACUCUGAUGCAGCGACGCCGCGUGAGUGGAGAAGUAUUUCGGUAUGUAAAGCUCUAUCAGCAGGGAAGAAAAUGACGGUACCUGACUAAGAAGCCCCGGCUAACUACGUGCCAGCAGCCGCGGUAAUACGUAGGGGGCAAGCGUUAUCCGGAUUUACUGGGCGCAAAGGGAGCGUAGACGGCGACGCAAGUCUGAAGUGAAAUACCCGGGCUCAACCUGGGAACUGCUUUGGAAACUGUGUUGCUAGAGUGCUGGAGAGGUAAGCGGAAUUCCUAGUGUAGCGGUGAAAUGCGUAGAUAUUAGGAAGAACACCAGUGGCGAAGGCGGCUUACUGGACAGUAACUGACGUUGAGGCUCGAAAGCG